This 492-nucleotide ribosomal RNA is filed under the name uncultured bacterium. Its description in RNAcentral is "partial 16S ribosomal RNA". It matches the Rfam family "Bacterial small subunit ribosomal RNA", at positions 29 to 507 of the family's 1533-position model. The record is from RNAcentral.
AGUGAACGCUGGCGGUAGGCCUAACACAUGCAAGUCGAACGGCAGCACAGUAAGAGCUUGCUCUUACGGGUGGCGAGUGGCGGACGGGUGAGGAAUACAUCGGAAUCUACUUUUUCGUGGGGGAUAACGUAGGGAAACUUACGCUAAUACCGCAUACGACCUACGGGUGAAAGCAGGGGAUCUUCGGACCUUGCGCGAUUGAAUGAGCCGAUGUCGGAUUAGCUAGUUGGCGGGGUAAAGGCCCACCAAGGCGACGAUCCGUAGCUGGUCUGAGAGGAUGAUCAGCCACACUGGAACUGAAACACGGUCCAGACUCCUACGGGAGGCGGCAGUGGGGAUUAUUGGACAAAGGGCGCAAGCCUGAUCCAGCCAUACCGCGUGGGUGAAGAAGGCCUUCGGGUUGUAAAGCCCUUUUGUUGGGAAAGAAAAGCAGCAGGUUAAUACCCCGCUGUUCUGACGGUACCCAAAGAAUAAGCACCGGCUAACUUCGUG